Daphnia pulex (common water flea) is the source of this 826-nucleotide long non-coding RNA. RefSeq lists it as uncharacterized. The record is from RefSeq and is a predicted model, not a curated record. Lineage: Eukaryota; Metazoa; Arthropoda; Branchiopoda; Diplostraca; Daphniidae. The transcript is spliced from 4 exons.
CUGUGAAUUCCGUUUUUACGGUAGUUUCAUCAUGAACAUUUCAGUGUGCUUCUUAGAAAAGAGCACGCUAGAUCCCCCAUCUAUGAGCUUGUUCCUGCAAUCCUGCCUCUGGUAUUUCUAUUCCUACAAAAGCUAAUUGUUGAGAUGAUUAUGUUAAACUUUCCUGCCCAGAAGCCAGAAGCAGAAAAGGCGUUGUCGUACAUCAUAAUAGUUCGUAGAUCUUCAUUUUUCUUAGUUGACCCGUUGGCUGCUACCGUUAGCUAAUCCAUGUUAGUUAAUUUCACAUGUGGUUGGGGUGUGGAAUCCUGGUGUUGCUGAAUACUAGCUCCGGUCACAUUUUGUCUUCAUGGGGAUGCCUUUUGUUGCCAUACUUUCCCGCCAGAAGCCGUUCUUUAGUGAAAAGUUGGAGGAGUUUAAUCUAAAAAUCUUCAACACUAUGUCUAUGUGUUACGUCCCCUGAGAUUGCUAGUCCACAGCCGAUGUCGGUCUAGUCUACAACGCAGUUUCUUUAUGGAAUCGUGUGGUCCUGGCACGGAGAUCCUUGAGCCAAUGCUGGCUUUUGUCCAUGAGAGAAGAGUGGCUUCCACCAACGUUCUGCUCCAUCUGUAUCUUCGCGACGUACGAUCAACCAGCUUCCCUACUUUUUAUGCUAAUACAACUUGUCUUACUUCACUGGCGAGUUGGAUCACUUCAGUGUUCGCUUCCGUCACACCUGCAGUCACUCGCGACGGGAUUAUGCCCAGGUACCCGACAAUUGAUUUACUUUCGUAGAUUAUCUACUAAUUAUCUACUUGCGUUAAACUUUGUGUUUGUGUAAUAAUUCCAA